UCAAGCUACUAAGGGCUGGCGGUGGAUGCCUCGGGUGCGGGAGGCGAUGAAGGGCGUGGUAAGCUGCGAUAAGCCCCGGGGAGCCGCACACAGGCGUUGAUCCGGGGAUGCCCGAAUGGGGAAACCCGGCUGGGGUAAUACCCAGUCAUCCGCAAGGGUUACCUUGCGGAGGCGACACCGGGGGAAGUGAAACAUCUCAGUACCCCGAGGAAAAGAAAUCAACCGAGAUUCCCCUAGUAGCGGCGAGCGAACGGGGAGGAGCCUAAACCAGGCAGGUGUCAAAGCCCGUGGGCGUUGCCUGUCUGGGGUCGUGGGACUGUGCCGGAGAGGGCCACGGACCUCUCGGGGAGUUACAAAACCGUCUCUCUAGCCGAAGGCGCCUGGAAUGGCCCGCCAGAGAGGGUGAAAGCCCCGUAGGCGAAAGGGAGACGGUCUCCCUGGGCACAGAUCCCGAGUAGCACGGGACACGAGGAAUCCCGUGUGAAUCAGGGGGGACCACCCUCCAAGGCUAAAUACUACCCGCACACCGAUAGCGCACUAGUACCGUGAGGGAAAGGUGAAAAGAACCCCGGGAGGGGAGUGAAAUAGAACCUGAAACCGCCAGCCUACAAGCAGUCGGAGGGGAGGAGCAAUCCUCCCUGACGGCGUGCCUUUUGCAUAAUGAGCCCGGGAGUUGCCGUCGGUGGCGAGGUUAAGCCGUUGAGGCGUAGCCGUAGCGAAAGCGAGUCCGAAUAGGGCGUUUAGUCGCCGGCGGCAGACCCGAAGCGGGACGAUCUACCCAUGGCCAGGGUGAAGGUGGGUUAAUACCCACUGGAGGCCCGAACCGGUGGAGGGUUAAAACUCCUCGGAUGAGCUGUGGGUAGGAGUGAAAAGCUAAUCGAGUCCCGUGAUAGCUGGUUCUCCCCGAAAUGCAUUGAGGUGCAGCCUCGGGCGGUCGCUGCCGGGGGUAGAGCACUGUUUGGGCUAGGGGGCUUAACGGCUUACCGAACCCAGGCAAACUCCGAAUACCGGCAAGCGCAGCCCGGGAGUGAGUCUUAGGGCGAUAACGUCCUAGGACGAGAGGGCAAGAACCCAGACCGCCAGCUAAGGCCCCUAAGUCCUGGCUAAGUGGUAAAGGAGGUGCCCCUGCUAAGACACCCAGGAUGUUGGCUUAGAAGCAGCCAUCAUUUAAAGAGUGCGUAACAGCUCACUGGGCGAGCGGGGGUGCGCCGAAAAUUACUCGGGGCUUAAGCCAGGCGCCGAAGCUGCGGGUCUGCACGCAAUGAGCGUGCAGGCGGUAGGGGAGCACUCCAGUUGCCGAUGAAGGUAGACCGACAAGGUCUACUGGAGGUGCUGGAGGAGAGAAUCCGGGCACGAGUACGCGAUAAGGAGGGUGAGAAUCCCUCCCGCCGUAAGCCCAAGGUUUCCUGGGGAAGGGUCGUCCGCCCAGGGUUAGCCGGUCCCUAACCUGAGGCCGAAAGGCGUAGGGGAUGGGAAGUGGGGUUAAUAUUCCCCCGCCACCAGGAUGGAGGCCAAGGGGUGACGCAGGAGGGAAGGGCUCCGGGGCUGUAUGGUUGGCCCUCCAAACCUCUAGCCCGAUGAUGGACCGAGGCAAAUCCCGGUCCGGAGGGUGAGGGGGAGUAAGUAACCGAGAGCUACGGCUCUCGGGAAGGAGCUCGGACCACACUGCCAAGAAAUAACCUCGUGGCCGAUGAAGUCCUGGUGACCGUACCGCAAACCGACACAGGUGGGCGGGCAGAACUCUGCCAAGGCGCGUGGGGUAACCCUGGCUAAGGAACUCGGCAAAUUGACCCCGUAACUUCGGGAGAAGGGGGGCCCACUUUGGUGUAGGCCCUUGCGGCCGAGGCUGAGGUGGGUCGCAGGGAAUCGGCGGUGGCGACUGUUUACCAAAAACACAGGGCUCUGCUAACUCGUAAGAGGACGUAUAGGGCCUGAGGCCUGCCCGGUGCUGGAAGGUGAAGGGGUGGGGUUAGCGGGAUUUUUUCCCGCGAAGCUCCGCCCUCAAGCCCCAGUAAACGGCGGCCGUAACUAUAACGGUCCUAAGGUAGCGAAAUUCCUUGUCGGGUAAGUUCCGACCUGCAUGAACGGCUUAACGACUGCCGCGCUGUCUCAGCCAGGGGCCCAGCGAAACUGUAGUCUCGGC
RNAcentral lists this ribosomal RNA (2143 nucleotides) under hot springs metagenome. Its description in RNAcentral is "bacterial LSU rRNA". It matches the Rfam family "Bacterial large subunit ribosomal RNA", at positions 3 to 2054 of the family's 2925-position model. The record is from RNAcentral.